UACGUAGGGUGCAAGCGUUAAUCGGAAUUACUGGGCGUAAAGCGUGCGCAGGCGGUUCGUUAAGACAGAUGUGAAAUCCCCGGGCUUAACCUGGGAACUGCAUUUGUGACUGGCGAGCUAGAGUAUGGCAGAGGGGGGUAGAAUUCCACGUGUAGCAGUGAAAUGCGUAGAGAUGUGGGAGGAAUACCGAUGGCGAAGGCAGCCCCCUGGGCCAAUACUGACGCUCAUGCACGAAAGCGUGGGGAGCAAACAGG
Molecule: ribosomal RNA, 254 nt
Filed under: uncultured bacterium
Lineage: Bacteria
Description: partial 16S ribosomal RNA
Rfam family: Bacterial small subunit ribosomal RNA
Source: RNAcentral